Molecule: ribosomal RNA, 722 nt
Filed under: Bacillus velezensis
Lineage: Bacteria; Bacillati; Bacillota; Bacilli; Caryophanales; Bacillaceae
Description: bacterial SSU rRNA
Rfam family: Bacterial small subunit ribosomal RNA
Source: RNAcentral
AUGUUAGCGGCGGACGGGUGAGUAACACGUGGGUAACCUGCCUGUAAGACUGGGAUAACUCCGGGAAACCGGGGCUAAUACCGGAUGGUUGUUUGAACCGCAUGGUUCAAACAUAAAAGGUGGCUUCGGCUACCACUUACAGAUGGACCCGCGGCGCAUUAGCUAGUUGGUGAGGUAACGGCUCACCAAGGCAACGAUGCGUAGCCGACCUGAGAGGGUGAUCGGCCACACUGGGACUGAGACACGGCCCAGACUCCUACGGGAGGCAGCAGUAGGGAAUCUUCCGCAAUGGACGAAAGUCUGACGGAGCAACGCCGCGUGAGUGAUGAAGGUUUUCGGAUCGUAAAGCUCUGUUGUUAGGGAAGAACAAGUACCGUUCGAAUAGGGCGGUACCUUGACGGUACCUAACCAGAAAGCCACGGCUAACUACGUGCCAGCAGCCGCGGUAAUACGUAGGUGGCAAGCGUUGUCCGGAAUUAUUGGGCGUAAAGGGCUCGCAGGCGGUUUCUUAAGUCUGAUGUGAAAGCCCCCGGCUCAACCGGGGAGGGUCAUUGGAAACUGGGGAACUUGAGUGCAGAAGAGGAGAGUGGAAUUCCACGUGUAGCGGUGAAAUGCGUAGAGAUGUGGAGGAACACCAGUGGCGAAGGCGACUCUCUGGUCUGUAACUGACGCUGAGGAGCGAAAGCGUGGGGAGCGAACAGGAUUAGAUACCCUGGUAGUCC